This 485-nucleotide ribosomal RNA is filed under the name uncultured bacterium. Its description in RNAcentral is "partial 16S ribosomal RNA". It matches the Rfam family "Bacterial small subunit ribosomal RNA", at positions 28 to 507 of the family's 1533-position model. The record is from RNAcentral.
GAUGAACGCUGGCGGCGUGCUUAACACAUGCAAGUCGAACGGGAUCCAAGGGGUGCUUGCACUUUUUGGUGAGAGUGGCGAACGGGUGAGUAACACGUGAGUAACCUGUCCUUUUCUUUGGGAUAAGCAUUCGAAAGGGUGUUUAAUACCUUAUGUUCUGUCUGCCUCGCAUGGGGUGGGUGGGAAAGGCUUUGGCCGGAUUUGGGUGGGCUCGCGGUCUAUCAGCUCGUUGGUGGGGUGAUGGCUUACCAAGGCUUUGACGGGUAGCCGGCCUGAGAGGGUGGUCGGUCACAUUGGGACUGAGAUACGGCCCAGACUCCUGCGGGAGGCAGCAGUGGGGGAUAUUGCACAAUGGGCGAAAGCCUGAUGCAGCGACGCCGCGUGGGGUAUGAAGGCCUUCGGGUUGUAAACUUCUUUUGCUCUGAACAAGGCAUGCCAGUGGGUGUGUUGAGUGUAGGGGUUGAUUAGCGCCGGCUAACUACGUG